Molecule: ribosomal RNA, 813 nt
Filed under: uncultured marine archaeon
Lineage: Archaea
Description: bacterial SSU rRNA
Rfam family: Archaeal small subunit ribosomal RNA
Source: RNAcentral
CCCAAUUUCGAUUGACUAAGCCAUGCGAGUCUUUGUAGUAUACAAGGCAGACGGCUCAGUAACGCGUAGUCCAUCUACCCUAUGGACGGGGAUAACCUCGGGAAACUGAGAAUCACAUACCCGAUAGAACAUUAUGCCUGGAAUGGUUUAUGUUCCAAAUGAUUUAUCGCCGUAGGAUGGGACUGCGGCCUAUCAGUUUGUUGGUGAGGUAAUGGCCCACCAAGACUAUUACAGGUACGGGCUCUGAGAGGAGUGGCCCGGAGAUGGGUACUGAGACACGGACCCAGGCCCUAUGGGGCGCAGCAGGCGAGAAAACUUUGCAAUGUGCGAAAGCACGACAAGGUUAAUCCGAGUGGUUUCUGCUAAAGAGACCUUUUGUCGGUCCUAGAAACACCGAUGAAUAAGGGGUGGGCAAGUUCUGGUGUCGGCCGCCGCGGUAAAACCAGCACCUCAAGUGGUCAGGAUGAUUAUUGGGCCUAAAGCAUCCGUAGCCGGCUCUGUUAGUUUUCGGUUAAAUCUGUACGCUCAACGUACAGGCUGCCGGGAAUACUGCAAAGCUAGGGAGUGGGAGAGGUAGACGGUACUCGGUAAGAAGGGGUAAAAUCCUUUGAUCUAUUGAUGAACACCUGUGGCGAAAGCGGUCUACCAGAACACGUCCGACAGUGAGGGAUGAAAGGUGGGGGAGCAAACCGGAUUAAAUACCCGGGGUAGUUCCCGUUGUAAACUACGCAAACUCAAUGAUGCAUUGGCUUCGUGGCCAAUGCAAGGCUUGCAGGAAAGCCCGAUAAGUUUUGCGCCCUGGGGAAGUACUUU